GGAGUUAGACUUUUGAAAACAAACAGAUCAACAGAUUAAACACCCUGAAGUUCUAAUAGCCCUAGUUAAAAACUCUUAGUUAAAAAGUAAACAAUUAAGAGAUACUCAUCAAAGGUGGACAGCUUUUAGCAUAGAAGCUUGUAAUUUUUUUUUUUUUUUUAAGGAAACCCUACUUGGAAUCCAGCUUGUCCUAACAAGAAGGAAAGAUCUGACUUCUAGUCAAUUGUUCAUAGAGGAUCAACCAGUAAAGGGCUUCCAGAAGGGACAAACACGAGGACUUCUGUGAGCUGAGCUCCGCUGCUGUGUUGGUAAAACAAAGUGCUCAACAUUAUCAUCUGAGCCAAUAUCUGUGAAACCUGCUUUGGAAAGAUUCUAGGAUCUUCCCAAGUGAACCAUGCCUGAACGACAAGCAACAGAAGAGGAAGGUUAAACUCAACCCACUCGUUGAGGUUCAGAAAGAACACAAUGGUGGAAUGUUGAAGGAAGGAGGCUGUUGGAAGGUCAGGAUUUGAAUGAGAAUGGAAAGAAGUAUUGUCUCAUUCCCCUAAUGUUCAAAUGAUCUCACUUGGUCUUAGAAGUGAAACCUACAGGGUCUGGUAAAAUUCUGAAGCUUUCCUAAAGGUUGCUCAAAAAAAUAAGAAAACAGGGGAGAGCCAUUGUCGGACAGACAAAGUGACACGCGCACACUGCCAUGUGGAUCCAUCGAGCUUUCAGUCCAGAGGCCAGUUCAGCCAAACAUUUUGCUCAUGCUUUUGAAAACUCAGUGGUGAGUACAUAAAAAUGUCUGCAGCCCAGAUGAGGUUGUUAAAUUCUUUCUUAAGAACAAGACAGAAAGGAGAAGUGAUUUACUAGAGUGUGUUGCUGGGUUUGUUUUUUAUUUUUAUUUUUGCUCUUCUAAUCCCCAAGCCCACGGCAGCCCGUCUAGUUGAAUCUUGAUUUGUUUUUGUCUCAUAUGAAUGUGAACAUCCAUCCUCCCAGCAGAAAUGGUAAAUAGCUGUACACAUCUAGGUCACGAAGUGGUCAUAAAUAACAAUCAUUUAUGGGGCUGGUGGGAGGGCAACCUUUGGGCUUAGAGAACUGCCUGCAGCAACAUUGUUCUAUGAAGUUUCCUGUAACUAAAAGAGCAAAAGCAUUGAAUCUUGGCGUUACUGUUUAAAAUUAUUAUUUUAAAGUAAUACAUGCACACAGUACAAAAAGAAAUUGAUAUGUCACAGAGUGGUGGUAUUAAACGAAAAGGCUCUAUGCCUGCCACCGUGGUAACCACUUAAAAAUGAUCAGUUUCAGGCUACACAAAUCAUACGUGAACGCUUUCUUGCAAAAAUUUCAAACCAUGCAGACAAAGCUAGAGUCCUUCUUGACGGUCAUUCGAAUUACAUUCCCCCUCCUCAGAGGUAACCACCAUUGUUAACAGUAGUGGGUUUCCUCCCAGAUCUUGACAAUCUUCACAGGUGGGCUUGUCUUGGUUCUUAUUUUACACAAAUGGUAUACUGCAUUUAUAAUCCAACAACGUGCUUUUUAAAAAAAUGUUUACUUAUUUAU
Molecule: long non-coding RNA, 1539 nt
Organism: Suricata suricatta (meerkat)
Lineage: Eukaryota; Metazoa; Chordata; Mammalia; Carnivora; Herpestidae
Exons: 4
Source: RefSeq, a predicted model, not a curated record